GGGCGAGUGGUGGAAUUGGUAGACACGCCAGUCUUAGGAACUGGUGUCGCAAGACGUGUAGGUUCAAAUCCUAUCUCGCCUA
This 82-nucleotide transfer RNA is filed under the name Pelagibacter phage HTVC011P. It matches the Rfam family "tRNA". Rfam says of the family: Transfer RNA (tRNA) molecules are approximately 80 nucleotides in length. Their secondary structure includes four short double-helical elements and three loops (D, anti-codon, and T loops). Further hydrogen bonds mediate the characteristic L-shaped molecular structure. tRNAs have two regions of fundamental functional importance: the anti-codon, which is responsible for specific mRNA codon recognition, and the 3' end, to which the tRNAs corresponding amino acid is attached (by aminoacyl-tRNA synthetases). tRNAs cope with the degeneracy of the genetic code in two manners: having more than one tRNA (with a specific anti-codon) for a particular amino acid; and 'wobble' base-pairing, i.e. permitting non-standard base-pairing at the 3rd anti-codon position. The record is from Rfam by way of RNAcentral. Lineage: Duplodnaviria; Heunggongvirae; Uroviricota; Caudoviricetes; Autographivirales.